GGAAGUGGAUAGUCACUCCAGAGUUUGUUCUGCUCCCAGAGGCUUCAUAUGAAUUAAACUUAACAGCUCAGAUUCCUGAAACACCCAAUCCACUGAAAACAUGGAGAGAGAGAGAGAGAGGGUGUCUAAUGGCACUGUGUCUGGAGCUUUUCAGGACUGGGUAGUGCUCAUUGACAUUGAUGAUCCAGCGAGGAGAAGUGUGUAUGUCAGGUCAGGAUGUGCACAGUGACAAUUUUGUACAACAUGCCUUCAGAAAUGUCGUUGAUGUAGUUGGAGGUUCAUGGUGAAACUGCUAAUGGGAAUUCUUACAAACCACAUUUUGUUUGCAGGAUAUUAAAAGCAGGCAGAGCUGUUGUCAUCACAGACUGGUCGACUUCAAAUGAUGUAACUCACGUGAUAACCACAAAUACAUCCAAAGAUAAAGGCGAGAAGUGCAGAAUCCCUCACUAUAGUGUCAGCUAUGUAGCCAAACAUCUUUUUGGGCAUGUUUGCUCAGUUAAACUGGUCCUGUAAUUUGGAGUCCUUCGAUGAACAAGAGAGCUGUGAAAUGGCCAUCGAUGUUGCUGUAAUCAUUGAGUCUAUGGAUGUUACUGAUGACAUUUCACAAGAAGAAUUGGAGGAAAUGCUCAAAGAAUACAUCAUAAUAAUGGAGCAACGGAAGAAAAUGCUUUUGACAGUCCCAGAGUUCUACAGCUACUGCACACCCAACCUGCCAGUUCAGAUUCAGCAAUGUGCAGAGCUUGGUAGAGUGUGCUUCUUCCCUCAAGCUCUGGAGGAGAUUCUGGGGUCCCUGCAGCCUGGAGUGAUGCCCCCAGUCACACACUGCAUGUUGAUGCAAAGCCAUUGUACCUCAGCAUGUUUAUCACAGUUCUCCACAGUAUCCUGCACAGCAAUCCUACCUGGGGUUCUCCUGGACACACAAAGUACUUUCUCCAGAUCCUGCAGUGUCCAGAAUAGUGUGUCUAGCAAGCGAACCCACCUGUCACUCACUGCCAAGCCCACCAUCCACUGA
This 1012-nucleotide long non-coding RNA is filed under the name Sinocyclocheilus grahami. RNAcentral describes it as "lncRNA (ENSSGRG00000021771.1)". Lineage: Eukaryota; Metazoa; Chordata; Actinopteri; Cypriniformes; Cyprinidae. The record is from RNAcentral.